UGGUAAGGUAAUGGCUUUCCACGGCUAUGACGGGUAGGGGACACGAGAGGGUGGCCCCCCACAAUGGAACUGAAACACGGUCCAUACACCUACGGGUGGCAGCAGUAGGGAAUAUUAGUAAUGGGCGAAAGCCUGAACUAGCAACGCCGCGUGUGCGAAGAAGGCCUUCGGGUUGUAAAGCACUUUUAGAGAGGAUGAGGAAGGACGGUACUCUCAGAAUAAGUCCGGCUAACUACGUGCCAGCAGCCGCGGUAACACGUAGGAGGCGAACGUUAUCCGGAUUUACUGGGCGUAAAGCGCGUGUAGGUGGUUUGGUAAGUAGGGCGUGAAAGCUCCCGGCUCAACUGGGAGAGGCCGUUCUAAACUGCCAAGCUAGAGGAUGGUAGAGGGAGGUGGAAUUCCGGGUGUAGCGGUGGAAUGCGCAGAUAUCCGGAGGAACACCAGUGGGGAAGGCGGCCUCCUGGGCCACUCCUGACACUCAGACGCGAAAGCUAGGGUAGCAAACGGGAUUAGAGACCCCGGUAGUCCUAGCCCUAAACGAUGUAGACUGGCGUCGGUGGUUUAGACGCCAUCGGUGU
RNAcentral lists this ribosomal RNA (578 nucleotides) under uncultured bacterium. Its description in RNAcentral is "bacterial SSU rRNA". It matches the Rfam family "Bacterial small subunit ribosomal RNA", at positions 250 to 846 of the family's 1533-position model. The record is from RNAcentral.